This 432-nucleotide ribosomal RNA is filed under the name uncultured bacterium. RNAcentral describes it as "partial 16S ribosomal RNA". It matches the Rfam family "Bacterial small subunit ribosomal RNA", at positions 28 to 507 of the family's 1533-position model. The record is from RNAcentral.
GAUGAACGCUGGCGGUAUGCUUAACACAUGCAAGUCGAACGGUCACUUCGGUGAUAGUGGCGGACGGGUGAGUAACGCGUGAGAAUCUGUCUUCAGGUCGGGGACAACAGUUAGAAAUGACUGCUAAUACCGGAUGUGCCUUUGGGUGAAAGAUUUAUUGCCUGAAAAAGAGCUCGCGUCAGAUUAGCUAGUAGGUGGUGUAAGAGACUACCUAGGCUCCGAUCUGUAGAUGGUCUGAGAGGACGAUCAGCCACACUGGAACUGAGACACGGUCCAGACUCCUACGGGAGGGAGCAGUGGGGAAUGGUACGAAAUGGGCGAAAGCAUGAAGGAGCAAUACCGCGUGAGGGACGAAGGCUUGUGGGUAGUAAACCUCUUUUAUCAAGGAAGAUGAUGACGGUAAUUGAGGAAUAAGCAUCGGCUAACUCUGUG